RNAcentral lists this ribosomal RNA (245 nucleotides) under uncultured Gardnerella sp. RNAcentral describes it as "partial 16S ribosomal RNA". It matches the Rfam family "Bacterial small subunit ribosomal RNA", at positions 110 to 354 of the family's 1533-position model. Lineage: Bacteria; Bacillati; Actinomycetota; Actinomycetes; Bifidobacteriales; Bifidobacteriaceae. The record is from RNAcentral.
GUAAUGCGUGACCAACCUGCCCCAUGCUCCAGAAUAGCUCUUGGAAACGGGUGGUAAUGCUGGAUGCUCCAACUUGACGCAUGUCUUGUUGGGAAAGUGUUUAGUGGCAUGGGAUGGGGUCGCGUCCUAUCAGCUUGUAGGCGGGGUAAUGGCCCACCUAGGCUUCGACGGGUAGCCGGCCUGAGAGGGCGGACGGCCACAUUGGGACUGAGAUACGGCCCAGACUCCUACGGGAGGCAGCAGAA